UACGUAGGGAGCGAGCGUUGUCCGGAUUCAUUGGGCGUAAAGAGCUCGUAGGCGGCUUGGCAGGUCGGGUGUGAAAACUCCAGCUCAACCUGGAGACGCCACCCGAUACUGCCAUGGCUAGAGUCCGGUAGGGGACCACGGAAUUCCUGGUGUAGCGGUGAAAUGCGCAGAUAUCAGGAGGAACACCGGUGGCGAAGGCGGUGGUCUGGGCCGGAACUGACGCUGAGGAGCGAAAGCGUGGGGAGCGAACAGG
RNAcentral lists this ribosomal RNA (253 nucleotides) under uncultured bacterium. Its description in RNAcentral is "partial 16S ribosomal RNA". It matches the Rfam family "Bacterial small subunit ribosomal RNA", at positions 524 to 776 of the family's 1533-position model. The record is from RNAcentral.